Molecule: long non-coding RNA, 3359 nt
Organism: Lepidothrix coronata (blue-crowned manakin)
Lineage: Eukaryota; Metazoa; Chordata; Aves; Passeriformes; Pipridae
Exons: 3
Source: RefSeq, a predicted model, not a curated record
GUUCCGGCCGUCGCGGGUGGCCGUAGUGGUGAAGACGACGCGGUACGAGUUCGAGCAGCAGCGGUACCGCUACGCCGGGCUCUCCGAGGAGGACCUCAAGCAGCUGGUUUAAUGUGGAAACAUCAUUCUGUGUUGAUUCCCAUGUGGGUUCCUGUUGCUAAGGUGUCCUUGUACUUCCUUUCAAAUGGUGGUUAUGGAAAAAAAAUGGCUCUCACAGCUCAUCUGGGCUCAAGCUUGAGUGACCCCGGACCUGGCUUGUGGUGUUGUGGCAGCAUCACGGUGUGAGGGAGUCUAAGGAGGAAGCACAAUGCUGUCAUCAUCUGUCACAGACCUUCAGUUGUCCAGGUGCUGACUAUCUGAAGUACAGAAAUUCAGCUUCAAGGCACUGUUCCAGGGUUAGAUUUGACCAACUGCACCUCGGCUCAUUGGCCUACCAGUUGUGGGCAGAAGAAAUGUUUGCAAGUUUCUAGAAGAAAACUGAUGUCUCUACUUGGAAGCUUCAGAUUUUCGUAUAGCACAAGUAAUGAUAAUUGUGGGCUUAAACAGUUCUACCUGAUCACUGAGACAGGAGAGGAGUCAUGAAUUUAGCUGUUGCAGUCAGUGCAUUUAUGUAUUAAGACUGAAGCUGCAGUCACUUAAUGCAGAAAUGGUGGUGCAUUUGGGCACACGUCCUAAUGAGGUGGGAUUUGUUCCAUAUUUAAGGAGGCUGAAGAUGAAUCACUGACAUAUACAAAUAUAUAUUAAAAUAUGAUACAGAUCAUAGUAUGUAUCAUUUAUAUGAUAUAUCCAGUAAAAAUCACAGUAUACUUCAAGAAGCAGAGUAUGGGUAUCAAGGCAGACUGGCUGACACUUCUAAUAACCCAUAGAGGCCCUGAGCACCUGUGGCUUAAAUCCUUCUGUGGCCUUUCCUUUGGACCCCAAGUGAGUUGUAUUAUACAAACACUAUAAAAUGUUGCAAAGUCAAAGCUGCAAGGUCACAAUUCCUGAAUUCUUUCUUUGUGCAAACAGAGAUAGGAGAGGUGAAGAAGCAGUCCAGACAGCAGAAAAACAAAACAGAUGCCGGAGAGAUGGAGAGCAAGGGCAAGCACUCUUUGGAGUGUUUAGCAGAUCUGUGAAAGAUUAAUUCUUCCAUUGCAUUUCUGCAUGCAUGCUGUGCAUGCCUGCUCCAGGCAAUUGUUUUUACCUGUCUUGUGGCAGAUACUAUUACAUGCUUACAAACAAGUCUUUUACAUCUGUUUAUAGGUGUACACAAACACACCUGCCUAUCAUAAUUAGUAGUCUAAUUCUGAAGGAUUAUGUAAAGUAUAAUUAAAUGCUUUGGAUGCUGUUUUACUGGAGAGGUUUUCAGAGUCUUUACUCCUGAAGAGAGAUUAGAGAUCUAUGAAAGUGAGAUUUCUCUUCUAAUACCACAAAAGGAAAAUGCCUCCAAAUGAUCCAGCACUUAAAAAAAAGUGCUGCAUCAGUAAAUUUUGUGCAUCAUAUCAUGCAAGGAAUAUUUUUCUUUGCCUUCAUGAAAUUUGAAGGGGCUACUGGAUUUCUAAAACUUGCAGUUACCAUCUUUAAGUUAGAUGAAAAUACUAAUAUUUUUCCCAAGUCCCUACAGACAGUUUGCUUACCAGGAGUGACAGCAGUUUGCAUUUCUUCUGACCUGUUUAUUUGGAUUAGCAUCUAAAUAUGACUGGUUACAAAAGUAAAUGAUCCAGUCAACUAAUACUGAAGGCUACUGUAUAUCCUGGCUGUUUAUUUCAUUCUCGGUAAAUCCAUGCAGAACAAGCACUGCUGUUGUCCUUACGUAAACUAAGAGAAUUUAAUACCCCAGUAAUAGAUAAAACUAAUUUCCUGAGUUCUGUUCUUUGUUUUGUUUGAUAGUGCAGAUGCGAUGUAGCUGCUGACUUCUCAUGCCUGGAAGGUAUUUAGGAAAGAUGAACAAUUUAGCUGUCCAAACACAGUUCAUAUACAGUUUUAAUUACCUUUGAAAAUGUCAUAUGAAAAGUUAGGUUUGUUUUGGUCUUAAUUGGAAGGAAAUGGUUCAGUGUGGACCACAGCUGAUACUCUACUGUGGCUGGUUUACAGUCGUCGUUUGCAGCAGGGAGGGAGAGCACAGACUUAGAGCUGUUUGGAACAAGUUUUGGCUCAUUUGGACCACUGCAACAGAUUGGUAGGGGUGCUCAUCUCAGUGAUGUGAAGUUCAUAGGGCUUUAUUGAGAACUGGUUUUUCGUUAGAGAAGAGGUAGCGUGUUAGCAGGAUAUUCCCUCCCCUGAAAGAGGCACAUAAGUGAUGCAUAGGGCACCACCAAUAACAUAUAGAGCUGGGGUAGUCAAGAAGGAAGAAAGGAGUGUUGCCCAGCAGGUAGGAGAGGUUCAGUUGAAGCUCCUGUGUUGUGCACUAGAACAACCCCACAGAAGUAUGGAGGGUGUGUGUGUGUGUGUAGAAGAACACUACCCUGCCAUUCUCCUGAAUUCCUAAUUAAGAUGUGUAUAGCACCAGUUGUUACCAGCCUGCACAUUUUCAUGUCUCUUAAGAAAAUUCUCUCUUGGGGGAAAUGUACUGUUUUACUAAUAACUUGAUAGCUGAUUGAUUUUUGGUUUUAAUUAUGGAAAUUAAAAUAUCUUUUACAUUAAAUGGUGAAAGUAUCACUUUAGUAUCACUUUUUAAUUACUUUUUCUGGGUACUAGUGUUACAGGUGUGUAAAUCUCACAUUGCCACCUGAAGAUAGGCUUUUGGAAACCAGUCAGGUAUUUCAUUCUUAGAUUUCUGAUUUAGAGGAGUGCACUUCAAUACAGAUGCCUGUGAUCCACUGCAAUUAUUUAGUACGUAAAUAUUUUCAAAACACUGGAAUUUUUACAGAUGCAAGGAAGGUAGCAGAAGGAAAAAGUAAUGUGCAAACUUCAAAGUUCAACUGAGUUCUAAUUUUAAAAUUAAAUGAGAUAAUUUAGCAAGUAAUUAAAAAAAAAGUUGCUCCUCUAAAAACUACUAAGUAUUAGGACAUUUAUGUUUGUGUCCUCUUGUAGAUCCAGAUAUACAGGGGUGCAUUUGAAGUCGUAUCUUUAAAUAGAAACUUAUCUAAUGAGGUCAUAGUUUGAAGCUUUUCAUUGUUUUGUCGCAUUCAGACUACCCAUCUCUGCUUAUUUUGUAAUGUGAAUUAUUUCAGUAGCUGUUUUUUCAGGGAGCAGUUUAAAAACUGCUAGGACUGUACUAUGUACUUUACUUUACCUUGCCUUAAAAAGAGGGGGGAAAUAUCAACUCAGUUUAGUGAAUUUCAAGCAUACAGAAUUCAAGACACAGGUUAUAGUGCACCAGGACUGUAUAAAGCUAAAGCCACUUUUUUUUUCAGAAAUAAAAUUUUUGAGCUAGUCCA